This is a non-coding RNA of Kwoniella newhampshirensis, 95 nucleotides long. The record is from the annotation of a GenBank genome assembly. NCBI's taxonomy places the organism in Eukaryota, Fungi, Basidiomycota, Tremellomycetes, Tremellales, Cryptococcaceae.
ACACCGUUGGUGAAACGGUAUCAUGCGUCGUUGCCACUUAAGGAUCUCGGUUCUUCAAGUUCGAUGCGGCAAGGGUUCGACUCCCUUACGGUGUA